This 404-nucleotide ribosomal RNA is filed under the name uncultured bacterium. Its description in RNAcentral is "bacterial SSU rRNA". It matches the Rfam family "Bacterial small subunit ribosomal RNA", at positions 30 to 432 of the family's 1533-position model. The record is from RNAcentral.
AUUGAACGCUGGCGGAAUGCUUUACACAUGCAAGUCGAACGGCAGCACGGGAGCUUGCUCCUGGUGGCGAGUGGCGAACGGGUGAGUAAUGCGUCGGAACGUACCGAGUAAUGGGGGAUAACGCAGCGAAAGCUGUGCUAAUACCGCAUACGCCCUGAGGGGGAAAGUGGGGGAUCGCAAGACCUCACGUUAUUCGAGCGGCCGACGUCUGAUUAGCUAGUUGGUGGGGUAAAGGCCUACCAAGGCGACGAUCAGUAGCGGGUCUGAGAGGAUGAUCCGCCACACUGGAACUGAGACACGGUCCAGACUCCUACGGGAGGCAGCAGUGGGGAAUUUUGGACAAUGGGGGCAACCCUGAUCCAGCCAUUCCGCGUGAGUGAAGAAGGCCUUCGGGUUGUAAAGCU